This is a non-coding RNA of Ornithorhynchus anatinus (platypus), 138 nucleotides long. The record is from Rfam. NCBI's taxonomy places the organism in Eukaryota, Metazoa, Chordata, Mammalia, Monotremata, Ornithorhynchidae.
UCCCUCUCAGGGUCGCACCCAGAGAAUUUCCAGUACUCUACCAGUCUUGGCUAUGGGAGGGAGAGUCAAGUAGAGGCCUAACCAUUCCAUUCCUAGCUUGGGCAGUGGCUAGCGAGUGGAAGGUAAUCUGCUACAAGU